This 253-nucleotide ribosomal RNA is filed under the name uncultured bacterium. RNAcentral describes it as "partial 16S ribosomal RNA". It matches the Rfam family "Bacterial small subunit ribosomal RNA", at positions 524 to 776 of the family's 1533-position model. The record is from RNAcentral.
GACGUAGGGCGCGAGCGUUGUCCGGAAUUAUUGGGCGUAAAGAGCUCGUAGGCGGUUUGUCGCGUCGAAUGUGAAAACCCGGGGCUCAACCCCGGGCCUGCAUUCGAUACGGGCAGACUAGAGUUCGGUAGGGGAGUCUGGAAUUCCUGGUGUAGCGGUGAAAUGCGCAGAUAUCAGGAGGAACACCGGUGGCGAAGGCGGGACUCUGGGCCGAUACUGGCGCUGAGGAGCGAAAGCGUGGGGAGCAAACAGG